ACCUACUGGAUGCCUCAGUAACGGCGAGUGAAGCGGCAASAGCUCAAAUUUGAAAUCUGGCGUCCCCGACGUCCGAGUUGUAAUUUGGAGAGGCAUCUUCCGGAGGGGCCCAGCCUAUGUUCCUUGGAACAGGACGUCGUAGAGGGUGAGAAUCCCGUUCUCGGCUGGAUGUCCCCACCUGCAUGUAGUGUCUUCUACGAGUCGAGUUGUUUGGGAAUGCAGCUCAAAAUGGGUGGUAAAUUUCAUCUAAAGCUAAAUAUUGGCGARARACCGAUAGCGCACAAGUARAGUGAUCGAAARAUGAAAAGCACUUUGAAAAUAGAGUCAAACAGUACGKGAAVUUGUUGAAAGGGAAAYCSCUUGAGACCARACUCSGCCUUGKACAAMCAACCUACCUUCUGGUUGGAGCACUUGCCCUUGGCCGGGCCASCAUCAKUUGGGACGGCGGGAUAAAGGCCACGGGAAUGUGGCUCCUCUCGGGGAGUGUUAUAGCCCUGGGCGCCAUGCCGCCAGUCCUGACUGAGGACCGCGCUUYGGCKAGGAUGCUGGCAUAVUGGUCUUCRGCGACCCKUCUUGAAACAC
This 582-nucleotide ribosomal RNA is filed under the name Choiromyces helanshanensis. RNAcentral's name for it is "partial 28S ribosomal RNA". It matches the Rfam family "Eukaryotic large subunit ribosomal RNA", at positions 64 to 662 of the family's 3401-position model. The record is from RNAcentral. Lineage: Eukaryota; Fungi; Ascomycota; Pezizomycetes; Pezizales; Tuberaceae.